This 23-nucleotide ribosomal RNA is filed under the name Aphelenchoides bicaudatus. RNAcentral's name for it is "partial 18S ribosomal RNA". The record is from RNAcentral. Lineage: Eukaryota; Metazoa; Nematoda; Chromadorea; Rhabditida; Aphelenchoididae.
GUGAACCUGCUGAUGGAUCACUA